UCCCUGAUAGCUCAGUUGGUAAAGAAUUCGCCUGUAAUGCAGGAGACCCCGGUUUGAUUCCGGGUCAGAAAG
Molecule: transfer RNA, 72 nt
Filed under: Bos taurus (domestic cattle)
Lineage: Eukaryota; Metazoa; Chordata; Mammalia; Artiodactyla; Bovidae
Also listed under: 2 other names
Rfam family: tRNA
About the family: Transfer RNA (tRNA) molecules are approximately 80 nucleotides in length. Their secondary structure includes four short double-helical elements and three loops (D, anti-codon, and T loops). Further hydrogen bonds mediate the characteristic L-shaped molecular structure. tRNAs have two regions of fundamental functional importance: the anti-codon, which is responsible for specific mRNA codon recognition, and the 3' end, to which the tRNAs corresponding amino acid is attached (by aminoacyl-tRNA synthetases). tRNAs cope with the degeneracy of the genetic code in two manners: having more than one tRNA (with a specific anti-codon) for a particular amino acid; and 'wobble' base-pairing, i.e. permitting non-standard base-pairing at the 3rd anti-codon position.
Source: Rfam by way of RNAcentral